GGUCCCUGCAGCAGUUGAUUGGGGGGAUCUAGUACAGGGGCCCACUGUGCAGCGGGUGUGGGAGGUCCAGGCUGCCCCAGCGUUCCCAGCCUCCCACCAGACAGGGCCAAGGGCUCAGGAUGGGGGGGGUAGGAGGGCGUGACAGGAGUGAGGAGGCUCCGUGGCUGAGGGGCUGGACAGGGCUUCUUCAUGGGACUCAGGGGAGCUCCUACUUCACAGGGGGACCCCGGUUCCCAGAUCUCUCCUUUCACCCACAGUAAAGUAUUCUAGGCAUGAAUGCUUGUAUGGUGGGUCAUGCCCUUUGCCAGGCUCAGUUCUAAGAGAAGAGCGCACAGCAUCCCCUUUAAUAGUCACAAGAACCCUGCAGGCCAAUCUGCUCUUUCAGUCCCCAUCACAGAUGAGGGAGCCAAGGCUCCUGGCCCCCAGCCCUUCAGCUCCCAGGUUGGGAGGCCCCUUCCUGCCCUUCCUCGCCCUGGUCUUCCAUCCAGGCAAUUAUUGGCAGAAUUUCCGCUCUCCUCCAAAUGUACUUAGCAGCAAAAGCUCUCUGUGAAGUCAGUAGUGCCAGAGGGCUCCUCUAAAACAGAUCCAAGGGGCGCUGCCCCAGCUGAUGUGGAGGCAGGUGUGUGGCUAACAGAGCCUGGUGCCCAGACACCUUCCUGGUUCCCAGAGGGUUGGGAAUGGCUCACCUUGCAGGAGGAUCCUGGUCUCCGAAUCAGUGUCUGGGACUUGGUCACUGAGGUCUGCGGCUGGCACCUCCUCUCUCUGCACGCCAGCUGCAGGGGAGAGAUGUGACGGCACCAGCCCCUCUCUCCCCUGCCCGGCACCACUGUGCCCAGGCUGUAGCUCCACACCCUCUCCGGCUGAUGGCUCACCUUGCCCAAGGUGUUCUGGGUCCAGUGUGCGAAUGGCCACGGUUUUGUUGACUCUAAUUCCUUCGGGCUAUGCGGUGUUGGGAGGGGGAGGAAGUCCAGUGAAGAAAAGGACAGACACACAGAUGGUCAGCAAGCCACUGUCAUGAGGAUGACUCUAGCAGAGGGUCAUACCUUACACAGAUCUUGUGCAAAUUCAUCAGACAAUUCUACAUCAAUGACGAAAAAGUGUGAAAUCUUCACAUGUGCUGAGAAACUACUUGGGCUAGCUCACUGGAUCCUCACAAUCCAAUGGGGUGGGUGCUGCUUUCACUAUGGUUUGGAUAUUGAACGUCCCCUAAAGGCCCGUGCAAUGCAGGCUGAGUCUCAGGGUGGUGCUAUUGGGAGGAGAUGCAGCCUGCUAGAGGUGGGGUCUGCUGAGAGCUCUUUAGGUCACUGGGGUGUGCCCUUGAAGGGGAUAAUGGGAUUGCAGACCCUCCUUGCUCUGUUUGCUUCCUGGCCAGGAGGUGAAGGAUUCUGCCUCACUGCACACUCCACAGCAAUGAGCCACCCCACCCCCACCGAGGCCUGAAAGCACUGGAUCUGCCUGAUCAUGGACUGGAACCUCCAACAUCCUGAGUCAAAAUCAACCUCUUCUCUUCAAAAGUUAGUUACCACAGUAAUGAGGAUUGAACCUAGGCACACUUAAGCACUGAGCAUAUUUGCAUCAGCCCAACUUUUAAAAACUUUUUGAGACCUUGUUUUGGUUCUCACUAAGUUGCUGAGGCUGGCCUUGGACUUGGGUUCCUCCUGCCUCAGCCUCCUGAGUCGCUGAGAUCACGGGAGCAGCCACUAAGCCUGGCUUGUGAUGAUUCUUAGGGUCUCAGAGCCUGAGUCACCCACCGGGGAUCAGCAGUAUGGAGCACAGGCACAUUCCCUGAAGGACAAGGGACAGCGGAUGCACAAAGGACUCACCACGACCUUCAGGGUCUUCUUGACACCGUCGCUGAUGAAGUGGUUGUACACAGCAGCCUUGACCUCCACCUCCUGCAGCCCUAUGGUCAAGGGCACGAUGACAUAGGGCACUGGCACCGAGGACUUGGGC
Molecule: long non-coding RNA, 1953 nt
Organism: Marmota monax (woodchuck)
Lineage: Eukaryota; Metazoa; Chordata; Mammalia; Rodentia; Sciuridae
Exons: 3
Source: RefSeq, a predicted model, not a curated record